GAAUUCUGAUUUUUUAUGUCAGAUGGAUUUACUGCAGGAAUUCUAUGAAACAACACUGGAAGCUUUGAAAGAUGCUAAGAAUGAUAGACUGUGGUUUAAGACAAACACAAAGCUUGGAAAAUUAUAUUUAGAACGAGAGGAAUAUGGAAAGCUUCAAAAAAUUUUACGCCAGUUACAUCAGUCGUGCCAGACUGAUGAUGGAGAAGAUGAUCUGAAAAAAGGUACACAGUUAUUAGAAAUAUAUGCUUUGGAAAUUCAAAUGUACACAGCACAGAAAAAUAACAAAAAACUUAAAGCACUCUAUGAGCAGUCACUUCACAUCAAGUCUGCCAUCCCUCAUCCACUGAUUAUGGGAGUUAUCAGAGGCAAGUUUGGUUUGGAGAGGGUGGGCAGUGGCAUGGGGAGAUAUCAAAGUGUUUAAUUAAACUCUUGCUUUUUAGAACUUCAGUGUAUACCUUGGGGCCAGUAGUAUUCAAGUUACAGAAUUUAAAAACUGAAAGGCACUGAAAUAGUUUUCAUUUGGCAUUUAUGAGGUGGUCAGUUUUGUUAUUACAGAACUGAAAAUGUCCU
RNAcentral lists this small RNA (570 nucleotides) under Pan troglodytes (chimpanzee). RNAcentral describes it as "retained intron". The record is from RNAcentral. Lineage: Eukaryota; Metazoa; Chordata; Mammalia; Primates; Hominidae.